Molecule: long non-coding RNA, 830 nt
Organism: Octopus bimaculoides (California two-spot octopus)
Lineage: Eukaryota; Metazoa; Mollusca; Cephalopoda; Octopoda; Octopodidae
Source: RefSeq, a predicted model, not a curated record
CCCAAACAUCAACACUGUUAUCAUCAUCACAGCUUACAUCAUUAUAAACACAACUUCCAUCACCAUCAUCAUUUUCACCAUCAUCAUUAUCAUCAUCACUAUCACCAUUAGCAACUUAAGUUUCCCAGUCGACAUCGCCAACACCAUCGCUAUUAUCAACACCAUUACCAAUCAUCGUUAUCAUCGUCGUCGACGUGUUGGUCAUUGUCGUUGUCAUGAUCAUCAGAACCAUCAACAACAAUUCAAGCCAACCAGGGUGCCCCUGUAACAGUUAACCUCGCUAGAAACAACAGACAAUGCUACCUUCAAAUUACAUUCUACGGUUUUAAAAGAAGGAAAGUUGGACAUACAUCGUGUCCGGAAAAAAAAAAUAGCAGGACGGUCAUGGUUGGAAUGUCUUUGAUCACUGGUUUAUACAAGAGUUAAACUACAAUCGCUACUCAACUCAAUAUGGGGGGAAUAAAAUGAAAUAAAAUAAAAUAAAAAUAUCGUUGAAAAUAUUACAAAGAAAACAAUUGAGAUUCUAAAAGAUGUCAAACCUCGAGCGUCUAAGUUUAUCACAAAGCCUUUAAGUGGUCACUGAUCCUGCUAGAAAUAACAGGUAAGGAUGCACACCUCAGAAAAACAGAAUGGACUAAACAGAACAGGAGCAGACACGUGGGAUGGAAGAGUCGCUGAAGCGGUCACAGAUGUGUGACGAAAGAUUUCGAGACAAUGGACAUAAGAUAGAUUAAGAACUUUAAUAAACGAGUGAGGAACGAAUAUACAUAGUGCGUGUGUUUAUUUGACAAAAAAAAAGAAUAAUAAAAUAAAAAUAAAUAAAAAAAAAA